Daucus carota subsp. sativus is the source of this 1098-nucleotide RNA transcript. It is a transcript of the gene named 3-deoxy-manno-octulosonate cytidylyltransferase, mitochondrial-like, with no coding region annotated. Lineage: Eukaryota; Viridiplantae; Streptophyta; Magnoliopsida; Apiales; Apiaceae. The transcript is spliced from 8 exons. The record is from RefSeq and is a predicted model, not a curated record.
AUCACAUCACAUAUAUAUAUUUGUAUUAUUUCAAUCGCUGUGUUCUUGUGUCUCCUCUCCUUAAAAAACUAAAAUGGCGAUACAACUUACAGGAUUGCAAACAAGUCACGGCAGAGUCACGGUUCUAGUUUGAUCUAAGAUAUUACAAUUUAGUGUUAAUCGGUCUUAAAUACAAGGUGGAAGGCUAUAUUCUUUGAUAUUUAUACAUCAUAAUUCAGAAUUGUGCUUCCUCAGAGAUCAACGAUUUACUCCUGAGACUCCUAAGGCUUGAGCGUUGCAUAGGAAUGGUAACAGCUAUAGAUUAAGGUGGAUGAAUCAUCUCAGCCCUGAUUUGAAAGGGGAAAUUUUACUACUGACGAAGAUCAGAUAAUUAUCCGUCAUCAAGCUCUUAAUGGCAACCGUCGAAAUGGAGAAAGAGAGAUAAUGAGGUCAGCUGAGAGAAUGAAAGUGGCAAAGGAGCAUGGACUUUUGAAGAAGAUAGCAAGUUGGUGUCUUAAGUCCAAGAACAUGGUACAUGCAAUUGGACAGUCGUUCCUAAAAUUGCUGAGAACAUGGGAAUGUGCAAACUUGGCGACAACGCUGGGCCAUGUUGUUGUUGCCAAGGAUGAUGAAAAACUUGCUACUUGUUGUCGAGGAUUUGGUGCUGAUGUUAUAAUGACAUCCGAAUCAUGUCGAAAUGGGGAUAAAAGUUGACCACAAUGCCAUGGUGUUGACAGCCAAGAAGAUGUUGAAAAAAUUGAACGUUAUACGCGUGGGAGAAAUUUGUCUUCGUCCUGCAGGGUACAAGCAGUUUAUAGAAGAAGACCUGGAAUAUAGUCUUGGAAGGAGGAUGUUUUUUCCAAUGUCUGGUUUUGUCGGCAGAAGUUCUUGAAACGAGCUCAGACUGCAUUGAUUCUUCAAUCCGUGUUGAAGCAUCUUUGUAAUUCGAAAGAUGGUUAUAUUCUUCGUUUUAAUGUAGUAUUUUAUGAUGGUAAAUUUCUUCUCCUUAUGAAAUUGUGAUAUUUUCUUGGUUAUAUUGUUUAUAGUUGUUUGAUAAUUUUGCUUUUUAUUAUCCAAAAAACUUGGAUACCGGUAUAUUUAUUCCUGAUUUCUUUUUUC